UGGUGGAGUGAUUUGUCUGGUUAAUUCCGUUAACGAACGAGACCCCCGCCUGCUAAAUAGUCCCUGGUACGCAUUCGCGUAGCAGCGGCGCUUCUUAGAGGGACUUUCAGUGAUUAACUGAAGGAAGUUGGGGGCAAUAACA
This 142-nucleotide ribosomal RNA is filed under the name uncultured eukaryote. Its description in RNAcentral is "partial 18S ribosomal RNA". It matches the Rfam family "Eukaryotic small subunit ribosomal RNA", at positions 1299 to 1458 of the family's 1831-position model. The record is from RNAcentral.